RNAcentral lists this unclassified non-coding RNA (303 nucleotides) under plant metagenome. RNAcentral's name for it is "partial contains 5.8S ribosomal RNA, internal transcribed spacer 2, and large subunit ribosomal RNA". The stretch from base 1 to 105 matches the Rfam family "5.8S ribosomal RNA", at positions 50 to 154 of the family's 154-position model. The record is from RNAcentral.
GAAAUGCGAUAAGUAAUGUGAAUUGCAGAAUUCAGUGAAUCAUCGAAUCUUUGAACGCACAUUGCGCCCGCCAGUAUUCUGGCGGGCAUGCCUGUUCGAGCGUCAUUUCAACCAUCAAGCCCCGCGCUUGUGUUGGGGACCUGCGGCUGCCGCAGGCCCUGAAAACCAGUGGCGGGCUCGCUGUCACACCGGGCGUAGUAGAUUUUAUCUCGCUCAGGGCGUGCUGCGGGUUCCGGCCGUUAAAAAGCCUUUUUUAUCCAAGGUUGACCUCGGAUCAGGUAGGAAGACCCGCUGAACUUAAGC